GGGGGUGGAUUGGGCCUGGUGGCUCGCCUGGACUUCAAAUCCAGUUGUGCGGCAGCGAUCCUGUCGCAGGUGGGUUCGAUUCCCACACACUCCCGCCA
Molecule: transfer RNA, 98 nt
Filed under: Bacillota bacterium
Lineage: Bacteria; Bacillati; Bacillota
Description: tRNA-Sec
Rfam family: Selenocysteine transfer RNA
Source: RNAcentral